AAGUAUGUGAAUAUAGUGUACAACUUGAAGACGGAAGAGGUCUAUAAUGAUAAAUGAAAAAUAACAUGACUUGGAUGGAGAGUUGUCUCAUUUGCACUCAUACCACAUCUUCUUAUAACUAUUCACCUGUAAUUAACCUGUAAUUUACCUGUAAAAAAUCGGCGCAAAUGAAAACAAAAAUCGGCGCAAAUGAAAGAAAAAAUCGGCGCAAAUGCAAAACGCCGC
This 225-nucleotide long non-coding RNA is filed under the name Mytilus galloprovincialis (Mediterranean mussel). The record is from RNAcentral. Lineage: Eukaryota; Metazoa; Mollusca; Bivalvia; Mytilida; Mytilidae.